RNAcentral lists this ribosomal RNA (414 nucleotides) under uncultured beta proteobacterium. Its description in RNAcentral is "bacterial SSU rRNA". It matches the Rfam family "Bacterial small subunit ribosomal RNA", at positions 9 to 426 of the family's 1533-position model. Lineage: Bacteria; Pseudomonadati; Pseudomonadota; Betaproteobacteria. The record is from RNAcentral.
GAGUUUGAUCUUGGCUCAGAUUGAACGCUGGCGGCAUGCCUUACACAUGCAAGUCGAACGGUAACAGGUCUUUCGGGAUGCUGACGAGUGGCGAACGGGUGAGUAAUACAUCGGAACGUGCCUAGUAGUGGGGGAUAACUACUCGAAAGAGUGGCUAAUACCGCAUGAGAUCUAUGGAUGAAAGCAGGGGACCUUCGGGCCUUGUGCUACUAGAGCGGCCGAUGGCAGAUUAGGUAGUUGGUGGGAUAAAGGCUUACCAAGCCUACGAUCUGUAGCUGGUCUGAGAGGACGAUCAGCCACACUGGGACUGAGACACGGCCCAGACUCCUACGGGAGGCAGCAGUGGGGAAUUUUGGACAAUGGGCGCAAGCCUGAUCCAGCAAUGCCGCGUGCAGGAUGAAGGCCUUCGGUUGU